Long non-coding RNA from Maniola jurtina (meadow brown), 497 nucleotides. RefSeq lists it as uncharacterized. NCBI's taxonomy places the organism in Eukaryota, Metazoa, Arthropoda, Insecta, Lepidoptera, Nymphalidae. The record is from RefSeq and is a predicted model, not a curated record. The transcript is spliced from 2 exons.
CGACGCAGGAGUGAAGUGAAAGUAAUAAAUAAGUGUAGUGAAUUCUGUGUAACCCUGGAUUAAGGGUUCCUUCUACCAGGAAGCUCUAACAGUUACACUGAAGCUCUGCUAUUAACCUGACUGCUACCCCACCGGCGAAGUGUCUAUCAACUUCGUACCGUCUACCCAAGCCACGCUGCACACUGCUGUCGAGUAGCCUACGCACAAGCACUGAGCCGCCGCACCGCAGCGCCGCCCGAGCAUCGUCGAUUGACCGACGCUUCUGCGAGCCCUCUGCGAGCCCGUGUCUGCCCCGGCGUCUGACCAAGGCCAGUUGUCUUCCUUCGGACAGUCAACGUAUCUUCAUGCGUAUGCGAUUCUCAAUUAACUACCCUGUGAUUGUAGCGCGUUACCUACGGCCGCUCCCGAGUGAGUUAUCUAUUAUGUUUAUUUAGUUCCACAAUAAGACACAACCUAUUUGUAAGAUUGUUUGACUAUAAUUAUAAGUAUCAAUCCGU